Long non-coding RNA from Anneissia japonica, 1634 nucleotides. RefSeq lists it as uncharacterized. The transcript has 2 exons. NCBI's taxonomy places the organism in Eukaryota, Metazoa, Echinodermata, Crinoidea, Comatulida, Comatulidae. The record is from RefSeq and is a predicted model, not a curated record.
GUCUAGCAUGGUGGUACUAUACUAGUUCAGCAUAGUGGUACUAUACUAUUCUAGUAUAGUGGUACUAUAUUAGUCUGGCAUUGUGGUACCAUACUAGUAUAGCUCUAAGAGCUAAGAAAAAAUGUAUUUAACCUAGACUUAAAGGUGUUAACAGUGCAAGCAUUUUAAUAGUGGUACUAUAGUGGUCUGGCAUAUUGGUACUGUACUAUAUUAUUCUGGAAUAGUGGUACUAUAUUAGUUUGGCAUAGUUGUACCAUACUAGUCCAGCAUAGUGGUACUAUACUAGUUCAGCAUAGUGGUGCUAUAUUAGUCUAGCAUAGUGGUACUAUACUAGUCUAGCAUAGUGGUAAUAUACUAAUCUAGCAUAGUGGCACUAUACUAUUCUGGCAUAGUAGUACCAUACUGGUCUAGCAUAGUGGUACUAUACGAGUCUAGCAUAGUGGUGCUGUAUUUUUUUAGCAUAGUGGUACUAUAGUGGUCUGGCAUAGUGGUACUACUGUAUACUAUUCUGGCAUAGUAGUACGAUAUUGGUCUAGCAUAGUGGUACUAUACUAGUCUAGCAUAGUGGUACUAUACUAUUUUAGCAUAGCGGUACUAUAGUGGUCUGGCAUAGAGGUACUAUACUAUUCUUGCAUAGUAGUAUACUGAUCUAGCGUAGUACUUUCUUGAAUGUAAUAAAUAAAAUAUUCACCCAUUGAAAACAGCCAAACGAGUUGAUUCUACCUGUAGUAUGGUUCAAUCUGAGAGGGAGAAGCAAUGGAAGACUAGUGUUUUAAAGUAUUCAUCUGCUUGAAUAGAGGAUUGAAAAGAACUUAUUUAUAUAUGUGAUAUACUUAUGAAACACUUAACAAUCAAUAUACAUUAUAGGCCUUUCACAGUUGUUUUGCCUAAUUAUAUUGUGUCCAUCUGAUUUAAACAUCUGUGAAUAUAUAAAUAUAUUCUUCUUGUAGACGUUCAUUUAUUACUACAUGCCUCGACCGCAUCGCAAGUUACAAGGUUGAAUUGGAAGCAACUGCUGUUCUGAGGCAGGAAGUUCAAGCUAUGCUUGCAAGAUUCAAGCAGUUACAAGCCAAGUUGUAUAGACUAAGUAUUGUAAAUUAAAGAAUCUUUGUAAACCUAAAGCUUAUUCUGCUCUUGCGACUUCAACUCAGUUUGUUGGCAGUAAUGCCAUGUUGACUUAAACUCAGGAUCGUGCCACUACUCAGAACUAAAAGGAGCAGACCUACCAAGUCUUAUACAUUGGAAGGCUCUGUCAUUGCAGGCCUCUCAUUGGAGGCCUCACAUGGUCACGCGCUCAAGACCUCUCAUUGGAGGCCUCUUUCAUGGUCUCGUGCUCAAGACCUCUCAUUAGAGGCUUCUCACAUGGUCUCGUGCUCAAGACCAAACCUUAGUAGCUGUCUCACUAACAUGCACCAAAGUUCUUUCUCAAGUUUAUCUAAACAUUUAUGUUUUUCAUAUCAUGAUUGAACUAGCUGCACUGGAGCUGUGAAUAUGUUGUUGCUUCAACAAGCACUGUCCAAUAAGCUCAAAGCCUUCAUUGAUUGUCAUUCACUGAUGUACUUUCUGAUUUUUGUCAUUUGAUAUAUUUUAUUGUAUGUGUUGUUUGUUAUUUAAAUAAACAUAAAAAUAAAUUA